GACGAACGCUGGCGGCGUGCUUAACACAUGCCAGUCGAACGGUGAAGCGCCUUCCUUUUUGGUGGGUGUGGAUGAGUGGCGAACGGGUGAGUAACACGUGAGUAACCUGCCCCCUUCUUCUGGAUAACCGCAUGAAAGUGUGGCUAAUACGGGAUAUUCUGGGUCUGUCGCAUGAUGGGUCUGGGAAAGAUAUUGUUUCGGUGGGGGAUGGGCUCGCGGCCUAUCAGCUUGUUGGUGGGGUGAUGGCCUACCAAGGCGGUGACGGGUAGCCGGCCUGAGAGGGUGGACGGUCACACUGGGACUGAGACACGGCCCAGACUCCUAGGGGAGGCAGCAGUGGGGAAUAUUGCACAAGGGGCGCAAGCCUGAUGCAGCGGCGCCGCGUGAGGGAUGGAGGCCUUCGGGUUGUGAACCUCUUUCGCCAGUGAAGCAGGCCUGCCUCGUUUGUGGGUGGGUUGACGGUAGCUGGAUAAGAAGCGCCGGCUAACUACGUG
RNAcentral lists this ribosomal RNA (494 nucleotides) under uncultured bacterium. RNAcentral's name for it is "partial 16S ribosomal RNA". It matches the Rfam family "Bacterial small subunit ribosomal RNA", at positions 28 to 507 of the family's 1533-position model. The record is from RNAcentral.